UAACACGUGGGUAACCUGCCCAUCAGAGGGGGAUAACAUUCGGAAACGGAUGCUAAAACCGCAUAGGUCCUUUAACCGCAUGGUUGAAGGAGGAAAAGAGGCGCAAGCUUCUGCUGAUGGAUGGACCCGCGGUGCACUAGCUAGUUGGUGAGGUAACGGCUCACCAAGGCCGUGAUGCAUAGCCGACCUGAGAGGGUGAUCGGCCACAUUGGGACUGAGACACGGCCCAA
RNAcentral lists this ribosomal RNA (230 nucleotides) under uncultured bacterium. Its description in RNAcentral is "partial 16S ribosomal RNA". It matches the Rfam family "Bacterial small subunit ribosomal RNA", at positions 111 to 334 of the family's 1533-position model. The record is from RNAcentral.